Molecule: ribosomal RNA, 400 nt
Filed under: uncultured bacterium
Lineage: Bacteria
Description: bacterial SSU rRNA
Rfam family: Bacterial small subunit ribosomal RNA
Source: RNAcentral
CUAACACAUGCAAGUCGAACGAGAAGCCACCUUCGGGUGGUGGAAAGUGGAGACGGGUGAGUAACACGUGGGAACGUACCCUUUGGUUCGGGACAACUCGGGAAACUGGAGCUAAUACCGGAUGAGCCCUACGGGGGAAAGAUUUAUCCCGAAGGAUCGGCCCGCGUCUGAUUAGCUUGUUGGUGGGGUAAGGGGCCCCAAGGCUACGAUCAGUAGCUGGUCUGAGAGGAUGAUCAGCCACACUGGGACUGAGACACGGCCCAUACUCCUACGGGAGGCAGCAGUGGGGAAUAUUGACAAUGGGCGCAAGCCUGAUCCAGCCAUGCCGGGUGAGUGAUGAAGGCUUACGGUUGUAAACGCCGUUCGCGCGCGACGAUAAUGACGGGAGCGCGAAAGAAGC